This 257-nucleotide ribosomal RNA is filed under the name uncultured bacterium. RNAcentral's name for it is "partial small subunit ribosomal RNA". It matches the Rfam family "Bacterial small subunit ribosomal RNA", at positions 26 to 286 of the family's 1533-position model. The record is from RNAcentral.
AGGACGAACGCUGGCGGCGUGCUUAACACAUGCAAGUCGAGCGGAAAGGCCCUUCGGGGUACUCGAGCGGCGAACGGGUGAGUAACACGUGGGCAACCUGCCCUUAGCUCUGGGAUAGCUCCGGGAAACCGGAAUUAAAUACCGGAUAUGACCUAGGCCGACAUCGGCCGUGGUGGAGAGUUUUUUCGGCUAGGGAUGGACUCGCGGCCUAUCAGCUAGUUGGUGGGGUAAUGGCCUACCAAGGCGACGACGGGUAG